UUUGCAAGAUGAAAAUGUUCAACAAUAAUGUGGUUGUACAACAGUGUGAAAGUACUUAACACUACUGAUAUGUACUCUUAAAAAUGGUUAAGACUUCUGGGCAUAGUCGCUUACACCUGUAAUCCUUGUACUUUGGGAGGCCAAGGUGGGUGAAUCCCUUGAGGCCAAGAGUUUAAGACUAGCCUGGGCAACAUGGUGAAAUCCUGUUCCUACUGAAAAUACAAAACUUGGCCGGUUAUGGUGGUGUGUGCUUGUAGUCCCAGCUACUCAAGAGGCUGAGGUCUGAGAAUCACUUGAACGUGGGAGGCGGGUGGGUGCAGGGAGCCAAGAUGGUGCCACUGUGCUCUAUCCUGGGUGACUGAGGGAGACUGUCUCAAAAAAAACAACAAAAAAAACAAAAGUUAAGACACACGAGGCAUGGUGGCUCAUACCUGUAACCCCAGGACUUUGGGAGGCUGAGGCAAGAGGAUUGCUUGAGCCCAGGAGUUGAAGACCAACCUGACAACAGAGCAAGACUCCUGUUUCUACCAAUAAAAAUUGUUUAGGCCAAGAGCGGUGGCUCACGCCUGUAAUCCCAGAACUUUGGGAGGCCAAGCCAGGUGGAUCAUGUGAGGUCAGGAGUUUGAAACCAGCCUUACCAUCGUGGUGAAACCUUAUCUCUGUUAAAUACAAAAUAUUAGCCAGACAUGGUGACAGGUGCCUGUAAUCCCAGCUGCUUGGGAGGCUGAGGCGGGAGAGUCACUUGAACCCGGGAGGUGGAGGUUGCAGUGAGCCGAGAUCACGCCACUGCACUCCAGCCUAGGAAACAGAACAAAGUGAGACUCUACCUCAGAAAAAUAAAAAUAAAAUAAUAGUAGAUUAACUGAGCAUGUUGAUGAGCACCUGUAGUCCCAGCUACUUGGGUGACUGAAGUGGGAGAAUAGCUUGAGCCCUAGAGUUAGAGGCUUCAGUGAGCUAUGAUCCCACCACUGCACUUCAGCCUGGGUAACAGUCUCAAAAAGGAAAAAAAUGGUUAGCAUGGUAAAUUUUAUGUUGUGUAUAUUUUACUGCAGUUAAAAAAAUAAAGACCUCCUGGUGCUUUGGCAUUGGAUCAAAAAGGCCUUGGAUGUCUGUAAAAUUCACGUUAGUAUGUGCCUUGAUUCACUAUGAUGCAGAAUCGAUUAGACUCUUCUGUGUUUUUUACUUUAUCCCUUUUGAUCAUUGUAGCACCUCUUUGUCUAUUUUAUCCAUAUACAUUGUUGCGUGAGUUGUUUGCUUUCUCUAUCAAUCUAUCCACAAGAUCUCUGAAGAGAUCAGGUCCAAGCUUUGGCCCAGCACACACAUUCUAGAAACGUCUUGCCAGAGAAACAGUCAUUCUCCUCUCAGGGAAGGUUGUUCGAAGGCCAGCAGCAGGUGGGAAAAUAGAAGGGAAACGUGGAAAUCAAGUGUACAUUAAGAAUUGCCUUAGAGUAGACUUGCACACACAGCUGAAAAAUGAAAAUCAGACUUGAUUGCCCGAUGUAAUUUUCUCUUUUCCCAUUUAUAUGCAUACUUAGGAUAAACAGUUAUUGAGACCACCUGUGCCCAACACACUAUGCCAGCAGAAAUUGUUGCCUUCAGUGAGCUCUUGUUAAAAAGCAGGUGUUUGAGAGCCUGACCAUACUAAGAAUUGGAAACCCGAAGAGAGACCGUGUUAAAAACUCAGGUUUUCAGCAGCCACUCGAGACCUCAAGACUGGGCUAUUUAUUCCUCAGGCAGCAGGAAUUCUGCGUGGCUCUAUAAACCAUUACACAUGGGGUGUUUGCUUGAGGGCACUAGGAUGAUGCCUGGUAUUUGAAUCAGAGCAUACUUGCUGUGCCUCACACAUAGCAGGGAGUUCAUAGUGGAUGAGCAGAUCAUGAAUGGCUUGAGAAAAGCCAUCGGAUAUUAUCAGUUGAAGCCUCAGACACAAAUCUUGAUGUAGCAUCCCAUGUGAAAAACACCAUGUGCCAAACCCUGUGACACAGACAUGGGACUUUCCUAGCCUGCCAGGCACUAAGGAAGGGGACAACCCAGUGCGGCCAAGCCAGGAAGUCAAUGAGAGGCAAACAUAGCAUGGUCUAGGAUUUAAACAAACCUCUUAGUGAUCUCCUUGGCUUAGACUCUAGAAUGCAGGAUAGUUCUUUGUCCUGCCUUAGGCUGGCAGCCUUGUCUUUCUGCUUGGCAGUUUGGGAACUCAGAGUUUUUUCUCUCACCUCUGGCAGCUCUCAGACUUCAUGAAUAAUGAGAAGGCAGGCAGGAACUGAAUCAAGCUCAAGGCUGCUCUUGGGCAAAUUCCUCAGGCCCUUGGUGUGGAAUAAAGUGGGGGAUUUACAAGGACAAGUAAAAGAGAAAAUCAGCAGCACAGGCUUCUGAUGAAACAGGUGGUCAAAAUGCUCAGAGAAUUACAAUCCCCACAAAAACACAAAGUAGAACUUCCGGAAUAGGUUUAAUUAUCUGUUUAUUCAUUAGACUUUUAUUUCAGAUUUCUACUUUACAGGCCCAGCCUGAUAGGGGAGGAAGAGGGGAGCUCAGGAAGUUCCUGCACUGGAGGAGCUAAGUAAACGCCAGACCUGUGAUGGGCACGUGCUUUGCUUACAUGGUCUGAUUCUCACAACCAUCCUAGAAAAGAGCUUUUACUCUCCCAGUUUCAUAAAUUGUGGAACAGAUGGUUGGAGAGGAUGAAUAUCUUGCUCAAGGUCAAAGAGCUAAUAACCGGGUAUUCCCUAGAACACGAAGGGGUCAGGAUGCAACGCCUCCAGGGCACUUGAGCUCUCCUUCCCACUCUCCACUUGUCAUUUCAUCUGUCUGUCGGCUUCAUCCUUCCUGACUGCCAGCAGGUUUUCUUCAAGUGUUAGGCUACAGUUAUGUGGAGUGUCCUGAGGUCAUACAGGAACUGACCCUGCCCUACAAGCUCGGAAUUCCAGGGAAGGCCUCACCCUGGCCUGCCCUCAUGUACACACCUGUGGGGAGGGGAGAACUGGUUACUGUGACUUACAGGCCCAUCAGAACCCCACAGAUUGGGGAAGCAGUCAUUCCCCAAAGAAAUGGAUUUGGGGAGUUGUUAUAACACAAGGAAACACAGGAACUUUUAUAGGACAGAAUGGCAAAGUGGGGUUAAGUCUGGUAGGUUACUUGCUGCCAGUGCUUAUCUCUGUUGUCUCAAAGGGGACAGCCAUUUAUAUAGGUCUCAGGCAGCUGCAGAAAAGGGGAGUCUAAGCCACUCUGCUAGACUUAACAGGGACCGUCUUCCUGGCUGUCACCUGACUGGAGGGGAGAAUGCCUGCAGCCUCAAAUCUUUUGCUCACAGGAGCCCAGACCCAACACUGUUCUGUGCCCUGGAAACUUAGGAAGAUGUUUUAUUAUUUAAAUCAAAUAAUGUAGGGUAGACUGGGUUCAGAAUGAGAGGCUUCAAACAUUUUUUACUUUGAAAAUAAGUACUAAAAAUAGGCAGUUACCAAAAUGCCAGUAACAAUCUAGCAUUAGUACCUGCCCCAAGGUCCAGACCAUAGUGGCCACCUUGUGGGCUUUGGGGAGGUCCAAGGCCAGAAGCUCAUUCAAUGUCUGCUCCAAGUAGUGAGUGUGUCCACCCGGGCCCUGGCAAGACCACAAACCUACCUGUCCCUGUCCUGUGCUUCCAGGAACACAAAGAGCUCUUUGGCCUCAUCUUGUCUACUUCUUUGAUCCUCAAGGAAGCCAUGAGCUCAAAUAGAAUUUAAAUGUAAACUGUCUAUUUGUGGUAAUGAUAGAAAAAUAACUAUUUUUAAAGCUUGUUAGCUCUUUAGCAUGUUGAAGCUCUAGGGUUUCAGAGAAAUGAACUUGACAAGCAGGAGUUAAAUGAAGCCCAAGGUCAAGUUUCUCCUUACAUUUUGUACUUGUACAGUCUCAGUGCUGAGUAGCAACUUGAUCUCUAGUGUCCUAAGAGAUUUAAUGGAUUACACAUGAGAGCUCAUUUGGCGUUUGGGUUUAUUAUAUGUGUGUAUAAAUGCCUCAAACAUGUUUCUCUCGUGGGAGUUGCAACCAUCCAUCCCUGCCCACUGGUUUUCACUUUCCUCUCUGGCUACAACCCACCACAAAUAGUACAUGUGUUAGUCUUUCUUGGUUUAUUUUCUGAGCUUUUGGCAUUAAAAUAAACUGUGAUAAAAUACACUUAACAAAAUGUACUUAACCUUUUUAAGUAUACAGUUCAGUAGCAUUAGGGACAUUCACGUUUUGCAACCAAUCUCCAAAACAUUUUUAUCUUGCAAAACUGACUCUAUACCCACUAAACAGCUCCCCAGUCCCCACUGCUCCUCUCCCUUGGCAACCAUCAUUCUCCUUUCCGUGUCUGUGAAUAUGACUUCUCUAAAUACCUCAUAUAAAUGGAAUCAUAUUUGUCUUUUUGUGGCUUAUUUCACUUGAAAUACUGUCCUCAAGGUUUAUCCAUGUUGUAACACAUGUCAAAAUUUCCUUUCUUUUUAAAGCUGAGUAUACAUAAAGAAAAUGUAUGCACCACAUUUUCUUUAUCCAUUUGUGUGUUAGGGCACUUGGGUUGCUUCCACUUCUUAAUUAUUGAGAAUAAUGCUUCUCUGAAUGGGUGUACAGAUAUCUCUCUGAGACCCUGCUCUCAAUUCUUCUGGUUAUAUACCCAGAAGUGGGAUUGCGGAUCAUAUGCUAGUACUAUUUUUAAUUCCUUGAGGAAACCACAUUGUUUUCCGUAGUGGUUGCAUCAUUUUUACAUUCCCACCGGUAGUGCACAAGGGUUCCAAUUUCUCCACACCUCAACACCACCUACCAUUUUGUUUUGUUUGUAUAGUAACCAUCCUCAUGGGUGUAAGGUGGUAUCUCAUGAUUUUGAUUUGCAUUUUCCGAAUGAUUAAUGAUGUUGAGCCUCUUUUCAUUUGUUUAUUUGCCAACUGUAUAUCUUCAAAGAAAUGUCUAUUCAAGUCCUUUGCCCAUUUUUACAUCAAAUUUUCGUUGUUGUUGAGUUGUAGGAGUUAUUUAUCUUUUCUAACAGUAACUCCUCAUCAGACAUAUGAUUUGCAAAUACAUUUUCACAUUCCAUAGGUGUGGGGAUCGCUCCUGCGAAGGCCCCUUGACAGGACAUAGGUUACCUUUUCACUUGAUUAAUGGUGUUCUUUGAUGCACAGAAGUUUUAAAUUUUUUGGUGGUGCAGGAGGCCAAGGUGGGCAAAUCAGUUGAGGUCAGGAGUUCAAGACCAGCCUGGUCAAUGUGGUGAACUCCAUCUCUACUAAAAAGACAAAAAAUUAGCUGGGCAUGGUGGCAGGCACCUGUAAUCCCAGCUACUUGGGAGGCUGAGGCAGAAGAAUUGCUUGAACCUGGGAGGCAGAGAUGGCAGUGAGCCAAGAUCACGCCACUACACUCCAGCCUGGGUGACAGAGGGAACUCUGUCUCAAGAACAAACAAACAAAAACCAACAAAAAAUUAAGGUAGUCCAAUUUCUAUAUUAUUACUUUAGUUGCCAGUGUUUUUGGUAUCAUAUCCAAGAAAUCAUUGCUAAAUCCAAUAUCAAGAAGUUUUUCUGGGCUGGGCGCGUGGCUCACACCUGUAAUCCCAGCACUUUGGGAGAGUGAGGCGAGUGGAUCACGAGGUCAGGAGUUUGAGACCAGCCUGACCAACAUGGUGAAACCUCAUCUCUACUAAAAAUACAAAAAUUAGCUGGGCGUAGUGGCAUGUGCCUGUAAUCCAAGCUACUGAGGAGGCUAAGGCAGGAGAAUUGCCUGAACCUGGGAGGCAGAGGUUGCAGUGAACCAAGAUCAUGCCACUGCACUCCAGCCUGGGCAGCAGAGUGAGACUUCAUCUCAAAAAAAAAAAAAAAAGUUUUUCCCUCUCUGUUUUUUUCUAGGAGUUUUAUAGUUUUAGGUCUUAUGUUUCGGUCUUUAAUCCACUUUAAUUUUUAUAUUUGGUAUAAGGUAAAAAUUUGACUUUAUUCUUUUCUAUGUGAAGAUCUAAUUUACCCAGCACCAUUUGUUGGGGUAAAGAAACAAAACUGUCCUUUCUCCAUGGAGUGGUCCUUGCACCCUUGGCAAACAUCAUUUGACCACACAUAGGAGGAUUUAUUUUUGGACUCUCUAUUCUGUUAGUUUGUAUGUUUGUCUUUAUGCCAGUACCAUACUGUUUUGAUUACUGUAGAUUUGUAAUAUGUUUUAAAAUUAGAAAGGAUGAAACUUACAACCUUUUUGUCUUCCAACAUUUGUCUUUAUCAAGAUUAUUUUCAUUCUUCAGGAUCCCUUGAAUUUCUAUAUGAAUUUUAGAAUGGGUUAGUUUUUUUUCCUGCAAAAAAAUGCCAUUAGAUUUUUAAAAUAUUUUUUAUUUUUGUUUGUAGAGAGGGGGUCUCAUUAUGUUGCUGAGGCUGGUCUCAAACUCCUGGCCUCAUAUAAUCCUCCCUCGGGCUCCCAAAGAUCUGAGAUUACAGGCAUGAGCUCCCACACCCAGCCACCAUUAGGAUUUUGAUAGCAAUUGCAUUAAGUCUGAGAUUGCUUUGGGUAGUAUCAGCAGUUAAACAACAGUAAGUCUUCCAAUCCAAGAAUGCAGUAUGUCUUUUCAUGUACAGAUGUCAUCAUUAAUUUCUUUCAGUAACAUUCUGUAGUUUUCAAUAUAUAUGUCUUUUGCCUCCUUGGUUAAAUUUACUCUUAAGGUUUUCUUUUUUUUUUUUUUUUCUGAUCCUAAUGCAAACAAUUGUUUUCUUAAUUUCCUUUUCAGGUUUUUAUCAUUAUAGAAACACAACUGAUUUUUUGCCUGUUGAUUUUUGAACCUUGCAAUCUUGCUGAAUUUAUUAGUUCUGACAGGUUUUUGUUGUUGUCAGAACUAAUGGAAUAAUUAGGAUUUUCUACAUAUAGGAUCAUGUUGUCUGUGAAGAGAGAUCAUUUUACACUUCUUUCCCAGUCUGGAUGCCUUUUAUUUCUUUUUCUUGACUAAUUGCUCUGGCUAAGACCUUCAGUAUUUUGUUCAGUAGAAAGUGUGAAAGUAGCUGGGCACGGUGGCUCAAGCCUGUUAUCCCAGCACUUUGGGAGGCCAAGGCAGGUGGAUCACGAGGUCAAGAGAUCAAGAUCAUCCUGGUCAACAUGGUGAAACCCCGUCUCUACUAAAAAUACAAAAAAUUAGCUGGGCAUGGUGGUACGUGCCUGUAAUCCCAGCUACUCAGGAGGCUGAGGCAGGAGAAUUGCCUGAACCCAGGAGGCGGAGGUUGCGGUGAGCCGAGAUCGCGCCAUCGCACUCCAGCCUGAGUAACAAGAGUGAAACUCUGUCUCAAAAAAAAAAAGAAAGAAAGUGUGAAAGUACAUAACCAUGUCUUGUGUCUUGUUCCUGAUCAUGGAGGAAAAGCUCAGUCUUUCACCAUUGAGUAUGAUGAUGUCUGCUGUGAGCUUCUCAUAUAUGGCAUUUAUUAUAGUGAGGUAAUUUUCUUCUCCUAGUUGCUUGAGUGUUUUUAUUUGAAAGGGUGUUGAACUUUCUUAGAUUUCUUUUUUUUUUGCAUCACUUAAAAUGAUUAUGUGGGUUUUUCUGUCAUUCUAUAAAUGUGUCCUUAUGUUGAAUGAUUUUUAUAUAUCAAACCAUUCUUGUAUUUCAGGAAUAAAUCCCACUUGGCCAUGGUGUAUAAUCCUUUUAAUGUGCUGUUGAAAUUGAUUUACUAGCAUUUUGUUGAGGAUUUUGCAUUGCUUUUUACUUGCUGCUUUUAAGAUUUCUUUGUCUUCGCCUUUUGAUCAUAAUGUUUCUCAGUGUGGGUCUCUUACUUAUUAAUUGAGCCUCUCAUAUUUAUAUUUCCAUUUCAUUCCUCAAAGCUGGGACAUUUACAGACAUUAUAUUUUUCAAAUAAGCUAUUUCUCCUUUCUUCUGUUUGAGACCCUCAUAAUGUAUAUAUUGGUUAGCUUGAUAGUGUCUCUUAAGUACCUUAGGAACUGUUCACUUUUCUUUAUUCUUUUUGUUCCUGACUCAGUACUUUCAAAUGUCCUGUCUUCAAGUUUGCUGAUUCUCUUCUGCUUCAUUGAGUUUGUGAUUGAAUCCUUCUAGAGAAUUUUUCAAUUCAACUAUGACAUUUUUCAGCUCUAAAAUCUAGCUUUUAAAAAUAUUUCCCAGCCGAGUACAGUAGUUUACACCUGUAAUCCCAGCACUUUGGGAGGUUGAGGCGGGCAGAUCAUAAGGUCAAGAGAUUGAGACCAUCCUGGCCAACAUGGUGAAACCCUGUCUCUACUAAAAAUACAAAAAAAAAUUAGCUGGGUGUGGUGGUGUGUGCCUGUUGUCCCAGCUACUCGGGAGGCUAAGGCAGGAGAAUUGCUUGAACCCAGGAGGUGGAGGUUGCUGUGAGUCAAGAUUGCACCACUGCACUCCAGCCUGGUGACAGAGCAAGACUCUAUCCCCGCCCAAAAAAUUUUCCUGUUGGUAGUCUCAUUUUGUUCAUAAAUUGUUUUCCUAAUUUUAUUUAGUUGUGUGUGUUCUAUUUUAGCUUAUGAGCAUAUUUAAGAUACUUGUGUUUUCAUUUUGUUUUGAGACAAAGUCUUGUUCUGUCGCCCAAGCUGGAGUGAAUCGGUGCAAUCUUGGCUCACUGCAACCUCUGCCUCCCAGGUUCAAGCGAUUCUCAUGCCUCAGCCUCCAGAGUAGCUGGGACUACAGGCAUAUGCCACCAUGCCCAACUAAUUUUUGUAUUUUUAGUAGAGGCAGGGUUUCACCAUGUUGGACAGGCUGGCCUCAAUUCCUGGCCUCAAGUAAUCCACCCACGUUGGCCUCCCAAAGUACUAAGAUUACAGGCAUGAACCACCACGCCCAGCCUGACAGUUACUUACAUUCUUUGUCAAGUAAGUCAGAGGUCUGUGUUCUUUAGGAUUGAUUUCUGGAGAUUUAUUUUGUACCUUUGAAUAGACUAUGUUUCAUUGUGUAUACCUUGUGAUCUUUUGUUGAGGUACGGUUAUUUGAAGAAACACCCACCUCUUCCCGUCUUUACCAGAUGGCUUUGUGCAGGAGAAUACCUUCACUAAUCACCCAGCUUAAAGCCUCAGGGUCUUCUUAAACCUUUUCUAGGGCUGUGUCUUCCCUGGGACCAUGUGUUUAUUUGUAUUUAUUUGUGUUUACUUGAAUUGCACUUAGGUGUCACCUGCAUUCCUCUUCCUGUAAUCUAUUGACCCAAAGCAUCCAUGCAUCUGGGAGCUGCCUGCUAUUAUAGUGCACCAGAGCACUCCCCUUCUGCUUUGCAGCUUCUAACCAUGUUCCUGUCAGUGCUCUGAGUCAGGAGAGACAGAAAUUAGUCCCUUAAGCAGCCUUCAGAUGAGCCAGAAAGUUACAAGCUCCACCUUUCCCUUUUCUCCCAAGGGAGAAACUGGGAAUGAGGCAGUUUCCUUUGAUAAUGCCAUGCUGCACCAGGGACAAGGUGGAGCAAGGGUGAGCAACAUUCCAUGAAAUUUCCUACAACUUUGAGUGUGACUUGUUUAGAGUUUUUAUGAGACAUUUUGGUCUGAAUAUUGUUUAUUCAUUGUUUUCCCAGGGAAACAAGAGCCUGAAGCUUCCUAAUUUGCCAUCUUGCUGACGUCACUCCUCGAAUCUCUCUUGUUUAAAACUUAAUGUUGUUUCAUAUUGCUGAUUAAAAUUAGUAAGAUAAAGAGAAGGAAAUCCAAAUAGCAUAGUAUGGCAUGAAAUUAAAAAUAAAAGUCUCCUUAUCCACUUCCCAAACCCCAUUCCCACUUCCUAAGGAUAACUACUUAUAGCCAUUUGUCUUUUGAAGUCUUCUGAGGGUUACUUCCUUUAUUUUAAAUAAUGUAAGUAUACCUUCAUUUCUUGAUUCACCAACUUUGAAUUGUACAAAUGAUUUUAUACACCAAAAGAUGAGGCUUUUAGUAGACUUAUCCUCCUUCUUCCAGUUUUUGUUAUAUUUUGACAUCUAAGUAUCUCACCUGUUAGAACUUCAAAUGAUAUUUUAAACAUACAUGCAUUGAGAGAGUUCAUGAGUUUUGAAUAUAUAUAUAAAGGAGAUUGACACUCAUAUUCCCCUCCAUUUCUUUAACCUGAAACCAUCUUCUAAAUUUUGUUUUCUAAAAUUUACAUUUUUUCUGACUAUAGUAUUUUAUGCUUUCACUUAAGAAGGUAAAUAUAUUUUUAAUUCAUUGUACAAACAAGAUAUGAGCUCUCAGUGAAAUGCUGUAUUUGUCUCUAAAGCCAUCCCUCUAAAACGACAUUUCCUUUCUUAAAUUUUACAGAACAUAUUUACUGAGUGCCUCCUGCAUGGCCCAUCCUGUUCUAGGUACUUCGAGUAUACUCAUUAAUUGCUCAAAAUAAUAUUACAUCUUUGGACUUUUUGGGUUUAGACAAACAUAUCUAGAAUUGUCUUCCCUUUUUGUUUGUUGAUGGUAAAAUGUGUGAUACAGAUAUUUGUCCCCAACCAUAACUCAUGUUGAAUUGUAAUCCCCAGUGGUGAAAGUGGGGUUCUGUGGGAGGUGUUUGGGUCAUGGGGGUGGAUCCCUCAUGGCUUGGUGCUGUCAUUGCAAUAGUGAGUUCUUGUGAGAUUUGGUCAUUUAAAAGUGUGUGGCACCUGACCAGGCGUGGUGGCUCACGCCUGUAAUCCCAGCACUUUGGGAGGCCCAGGCAGGCAGAUCACCUGAGGUCAGGAGUUGGAGAUUAGCCAGGCCAACAUGGUAAAAACCUAGUCUCUACUAAAAAUACAAAAGUUAGCCAGGUAUGGUGGCGUGUGCCUGUAGUCCUAGCUACUUGGGAGGCUGAGGCAGGAGAAUCCUUUGAACUCAGGAGGUGGAGGUUACAGUGAGCUGAGAUGGUGCCACUGUACUCCAGCCUGGGCAACAGAGCAAGACUCUGUCUCAAAAAAAGAAAAAAAGGUGUGUGGCACCUCCCCCACUACUCUGUCUCUUGCUCAUGCUCUGGCCAUGUGACGCCCCGGAAGUUGAGCAGAUGCUAGCAUCAUGCUUCCUAUAAAGCCUGCAGAAUUGUGAGGCAAUUAAACCUCUUUUCUUUAUACCCAGCAUCGGGUUAUUUCUUUAGAGCAAUGCAAGAAGGUCUAACACAAUGUGUUAACUAUAUUUCUGACAUCUCAGCUUCAGUGUCACUGUCUCAGCAUGGUGAUAUUUUAAACUACAAUUCCUCCCCUACAUCACCAGUUGUUUAUCCAGAUCACUUAUAAUUUUCUAAUCUGUUGUAUAAUUCACGUAUUUAUUUGGCCUAAUGUCUUUCUGCAUCCCCAUCACUAGACAAAAACUCUUGGAGGAUUAAGAAAUUUGUUCACUGCUGUGUCCUCAGUGUCUAAACAGUACUUGGCCACAUAGUGCUCAAUAAAAAUGUUUUGAAUGCAUGUUAUCUUCCUGCUAUUGAAUGGUAUCCAUUUAAUCAUGCUUCUUGUAAACAAAAUCUCUCAUUGUUUAAUUUAUGCCUUCUAGGUUGGCUUCAGACCUAGAAAUCCUGAGAUUUCUAAUUUUAUUACUAGAUUUGUUCUCUAUUCUUUCAGUGCUUUUGGGACCGGUGUGUGAAAAGUAAAGCCAUUCAUUGCUAAUCAUCUUUGUUUUGCCAUCUUACUUCAUUGAGAAUACGGCUGUAGACUGAAUUCUAUUUCAAAAUAAGUCUUCUGCAGAGUCUGAGGGGAGUGCUCCAUUAUAUUUCAGACCACAGUAUUGCUGCUGAGAAAUCUGGUAAUCUUCAAAAGUUGAAGGAAUAAUCAGAAAAAUAGUAUUUCCCAGAGCUGAAUACACGAGUCUUCAGAACAAAAUGUCCUUGAGGGCUGUGAAGUGAGAAAGUAUAAAUGUAAAAACAACUUUUUUGAAAUUUAAAACACAAAAAAUGAAGAGACUAUUUAAAAAAAAAUCUUUUUCCUUUGAAAAUUUUCCUUGAUUCUCUGUAAAACUCCCAUUAAUCACAGAUGGGACCACCUGACCCUCCACUUCCUUUACCUUCUCAUCCCUCAUCACUCACUAGAAUGAGUAUUUCCUACCUUUUUUUUUUUUUUUUUCUGAGAUGUAGUGUCGCUCUGUCACCCAGGCUGGAGUGCAGUGCCGUGAUCUUGACUCACGUUGUAUACAACCUCUGCCUCCUGGGUUCAAGUGAUUCUCCUCCCUCAGCCUUCUGAGUAGCUGGGAUUACAGGCAUGCACAACCACGCCUGGAUUUUUGUCUUUAGUAGAGAAAGCGUUUUACCAUGUUGGUCAGGCUGGUCUGGAACUCCUGACUUCAUGAUCCACCUGCCUCGGCCUCCCAAAGUGCUGGCAUUAUAGGCAUGAGCCACCAAGCCCGGCUGUUAAAUUCUUUUUUAAAAGAGACAGACAGGGUUUUGCUACGUUGCCCAGGAUGGACUCAACUCCUGGGCUCAAGUGAUCCAUCUGCCUCAGCCUCUAGAGUAGCUGGACUAUAGGCAUGUGUCCACAUGCCCAGCUGAUAUUUUUCUAAAAUGUCUAUCUGACCACACUAGUUUCCUACAGGAUUAUCAGAUUGAAAAAAGGGAAGAAGGGAGAAAGGACUACUUGUUUCUGUUUCUGGCUUUAGGAGUAGCAGAUCCUUUUAUGCUAUUGGCCUAGAUGGUCUGUGGCCUUAAUUACAUUGUGCAGAUUGGAUGUGGCUGCAUUUACAGAGGGACAGUCCAGUCCAGUCACUUAGGUACACUUACACUGUACCUAUCCAAGCAGCAAAAAUCAGGUGAGCAAAACAUACACUUGUGAAAAAUGAGAAUAGGACACAAGUGGACAUUAUGGACAUUGGAAAGACUGAAAGUUACCCCAUUUGGAAUUUGCAUGGUUUUACAAAAAGACAGAAGCAGAGUGAUUUUUGCCUCCUUUGCAGAAUUUCUGAAAAGAAAAACACUAGUUUUUGGAGAAACCCAAAAACAGCGGCCAAAAUGUUCAGCAGAGGCUCUGGGGGGAAGGCAUGUUGUCUAAGGAAAAGGACUCUGCCAGCUUACACAUUUAUUUGGAAGACACAGACUUAAAAAGGAUUAAUAUAUUUAUGUAAAACUUAAAGCAAUGGUAAGAAACCGGUAACUAGGUGAGGCUCUGAAGAUUUUGAAAGAAGUGUCUUGCUUGCUGUUCCUUUAAGGUAGAAAAACAAAACAUAUUCAUAUGCUUAGGAAUUCUUUCUGGGCCCCCAAGGCAGGUACUCAGCUGCAUUUAACAGUCUAAACCUAUUGAAUCCAGGAGUUCUAGUGAGUUUUAACAGCUUUGAUGAACUCCAUAGCUCAGAUUUACAAAAUAGAAAAUUUAGGGGUUAGAAUGAAGCACUGCUUUACUUUUCUGCUAACAUUAUCUUCUAAUGAGAUGAAAAGCAGCUUUCUUCAAUAUCAAGAUCACCAUUCUUUGAGCACUUCCUUGUAAGGUCCCAGAUCAAACACUUGAUCUUAUUCAGGAAGAAGUAACUUUUUUCUUUAGUAAAUAAGAUUUUUUUCUUCAUCUAGGCAUCAAAGGCAAGCCAGAUAGAACAUUAAGAUGAUGGGCAUUAAAAGGAUGAGGGUAGGGGUCAAAAUGAGCCUUGAAGUUGCAGGUAUCUACAAAAAAGUUUUUUUGUUCUUCCUGCAUUGUUUUCAAAGAUUCAGGCUCUUGCUCUGUAACUCAGGCUCAAGUGCAGAGGCCACAUCAUAGCUCAAGCUCACUGUAACCUUGAACUCCUAGGCUCAAGGAACCCUAGGGGAAAGUAUUAAAGGCAAACCCUCACAGUCUGAGAAACAUUAUAAAAACCAAAUGUUAAGGUGCCAAAACAUAAAAAGUCAGAUGAAGAGGAGUCAUUUAAUGGUUUCAGUUCUUACUGGACAAUUCUGGACGGAGACAAUAAAUACAAGGUAAAAUUUCAACUAUGUCUUUUAAGUUUGUGAAUAGUGUACUUUAAGCAGAGGGCACAGAAUUUCCUUAUCAAUUUUGUAUAUUUUUGCAUCUUCAUAAAUACCAGCAAUUUCCACCAGACUAUCUCUCUGACAUUUUAUAGACUUGUCUUUUUUUGUGAUUAUGUGCCCCUCCUUCAUUGUUUUAUGCAUAUCCUUUAAAAACACGAGCUCACAGUAUAAUUGCUCUUGGUCUACUUUAGUUGGAAUGUCAUAGGACUGUCUGAAUUUUAUUUUGCAAAGAACUUCAAGCCAAUUUCCUUUUAGAGUCUUUGGACAUGGGAUAAGGACAAAAGUUACCAGAACUUUUGAAAUACCCUUUCCCAAUAUUUAUCUUGAUGUUUUUUCUAUUUUUAGAAUUUGUGGCAAUUCUCAUGAGACCUAACUCAUCUAUUCUCAGUAUUCGACCAGCAAAACACCUCACUUACCUGUGCACAUGAUCUAAUGCAAGGAAGCAUCUCUAAUGGGUUUUAUCUGAAAGAGUUUCACCAUGUUGUCCAGGCUGGUCUCAAACUAUCCACCCACCUCCACGUCCACCUCCAAAAGUGCUGGGAUUACAGAGGUGAGCCACUGCACCUGGCAUAAAUGUUUUAUUAGUCCUACUUCUAUCCAUUUAAAUUUCAUUCUGACUAGGCAUUUGUUAAAUUAAAGGGUGAAUUGUGAAGUUAAAGAUUACAAUGACAGAAAUUUAAAUUCUCUUUUAAAUUAAAAAGUUUUUAGUUGUUUUUUGUAUGAUAGGAGUCAUAACUGAAAAUAUAAGAAUGAAAAAAGAUGCUCUAACUGAAUUCUGGUAAAUAAUUCCUUGAAAGAAAAGAAAAACUGAAGAAAUUUAAAGAAAAGACCAACCAGGAUUGAAAGAAAACAUUUAUUGAAUCAAAAUCAAUACUUUCUUUUUAAUAUCUACAAGCCAACACGGAACUCAUUUUAUUCAAGAAUGAACACAAUGUACAAAAAAAGUAUGCUUAUAUUAUAAAAAUAUGUCAAUUUUAUCUUCUGGGUGCUCAGCAGAAGUCAUUUUAAACAAAAUCAAGGCAAACUUGUUCUCUAUAAUGAGUCUGCUAUAAUUUAACAACAAAGUGAAAGCUAAUGUAAUCAUAAAGUAUUUUAAAGGCCCACUGAUAAUGCUGCACUGGAAAUGCUAAACUCAGUAUUAACUAAAGUCAACAUUCCCGCUCUAUGCUUACUGGCACCACUUCAUGCCUACAUUAUGGGAAAAGUACCUAUUUUAUAGAAUGCAGAUCACUGCUAACAGAAUCCAUGUGAUUCAAUCUUCAGUUUCCCUUAACAGCAGUUGUUAGCAUAUAUUUCAGCAAAGAUUGAUUAACAGUAUAAUGAAUUUUGAGUAGUAAAAUCCUAUUUAAUUAGCUUCAAUUUAAAAAUGAGAUAUGCUGCUAUGGGGAACAGAUGACUUUUCGAGGUUUACAACCCCAUUUAUGAACAUGGGAAAGCUGCCUCCCUAAAAAAAGAUUUAUGUCCAAGGUUAAUACCCUAUCUUUUUUGGUAAUUUUUCUUGUUUCUUGAUUUUAUUGGCACCUCCCAGGCACUUUGGCAUGUGCUCCUGUAGGAAGUGUAGUUACUGUGCCUACAGAGUUAGUGGCAGCUACAGAGUAGUUACAGGCUGACGAGUCCACUUUUAGCUUACCAUGGAGAUCCGCUCCAAUACACGCUGGUCAUUGGAGCA
Callithrix jacchus (white-tufted-ear marmoset) is the source of this 15463-nucleotide non-coding RNA. NCBI's taxonomy places the organism in Eukaryota, Metazoa, Chordata, Mammalia, Primates, Cebidae. The record is from RefSeq and is a predicted model, not a curated record.